Molecule: ribosomal RNA, 512 nt
Filed under: uncultured bacterium
Lineage: Bacteria
Description: bacterial SSU rRNA
Rfam family: Bacterial small subunit ribosomal RNA
Source: RNAcentral
UAGUCCACGCCGUAAACGAUGUCAACUAGCCGUUGGGAGCAAUUAAGCUCUUAGUGGCGCAGCUAACGCGAUAAGUUGACCGCCUGGGGAGUACGCCGGCAACGGUAAAACUCAAAUGAAUUGACGGGGGCCCGCACAAGCGGUGGAGCAUGUGGUUUAAUUCGAUGCAACGCGAAAAACCUUACCUACCCUUGACAUCCUCAGAACUUGUUAGAGAUAACUUGGUGCCUUCGGGAACUGAGUGACAGGUGCUGCAUGGCUGUCGUCAGCUCGUGUCGUGAGAUGUUGGGUUAAGUCCCGCAACGAGCGCAACCCUUGUCCCUAGUUGCCAGCACGUAAAGGUGGGAACUCUAGGGAGACUGCCGGUGACAAACCGGAGGAAGGUGGGGAUGACGUCAAAUCAUCAUGGCCUUUAUGCCCAGGGCUACACACGUGCUACAAUGGUACCGACAAAGGGUAGCGACACUGCGAAGUGAAGCCAAUCCCAAAAACGGUAUCUCAGUUCGGAUUGG